UACAGAGGGCGCAAGCGUUGUUCGGAUUCAUUGGGCGUAAAGGGUGCGUAGGCGGCCCGCUAAGUCGGGUGUGAAAUUUCGGAGCUUAACUCCGAAACUGCAUUCGAUACUGGCGUGCUUGAGGACUGGAGAGGAGACUGGAAUUCAUGGUGUAGCAGUGAAAUGCGUAGAGAUCAUGAGGAAGACCAGUGGCGAAGGCGGGUCUCUGGACAGUUACUGACACUGAGACACGAAGGCCAGGGGAGCAAACGGG
Molecule: ribosomal RNA, 253 nt
Filed under: uncultured bacterium
Lineage: Bacteria
Description: partial 16S ribosomal RNA
Rfam family: Bacterial small subunit ribosomal RNA
Source: RNAcentral